GCUUAGGGUUUACACAUUUUAAUUCAUUUAUCAUUUUCCUCUCAAGAACCCUAAGGAAGCCACCAUUGGAGAAAAGCUUGACUAGUAGCUUUGACUUCAUUUUUGGUGCCCUUUCACUCACCUUAGAACUUUGAACUUGGAAUACUUUAGGCUCCUCCCACUCUCCUCUUCAAAACCCUUGAAGGAUCUAGCCUAACUCCUAGUUUUGCUUUGGUAUCUAGAGAUUCAAUUCUCUAGUGAGUUGAAGGUAGCAAGCUGAAAAAUCUGUUUUACGGACCGAAAAUUUGGGGCGAUUUCAUUUCGGUGGUAAUUGGGAUUUUCAUUCCAAUUGAGGGAUCAAAAGAGUAAGGCUGAAGUCAAGUGUUAUUGGAUGAGGGAGUCGCAGAGCCGAAGAGGUUCAAUAAAUGGUUCUUGGUAGAAUGGAUUAGGUGUGAGCCUAAGUCAAAGCCCAUUGUACUUUGCUUCACCUAUAAUGGAUCGUUUCGCUCAGGAUUACGAAAAUCCUCGAGGUUUUUCCAAGAUGGUGAUUAUUGGUUACAGCCUUGAGGUUAUUCGUGCUAAUCAAAGAGCAUUCAUCUUCACUCUUCUGAAGUCAUUGAUGUAGGAUAUUAGCUUUGUUUAGUUAAUUAGUAUACUUGAUAUCUUUAUAUUUCAGUUAUGACUUUUUAUUAGGGGUCCUUGAUUUAUGAAUUCUUGAAUUGUAUACUUUUGGAGAUUAAGUUUGGUUAAGGAGACGUAACUUACGGAAAUUUUAUUAUUUAAGUAAUGAUUAACUUUAUUUUAGUUUUCUCUUUUCAGCGUUAUUAUUUAUUUUAUUAUAUUCCUCUUGUAUUCUGUAUUUGUUUAUUAUCAAUUGUUUUUUAUAUCCACCGGUCUUCGGGUG
Molecule: long non-coding RNA, 883 nt
Organism: Cornus florida
Lineage: Eukaryota; Viridiplantae; Streptophyta; Magnoliopsida; Cornales; Cornaceae
Exons: 4
Source: RefSeq, a predicted model, not a curated record